UAAGUCAGGCAGAUGUUCGCAUGCUUUCGGCAUGAGGAAAGUCCGGGCUGCACAGAGCAGGGUGCCGGAUAACGUCCGGUGGAGGCGACUCUAAGGAUAGUGCAACAGAAAUAAACCGCCCGCUUGUGCGGGUAAGGGUGGAAAGGUAAGGUAAGAGCUUACCGCGCUGUCGGUAACGGCAGCGGCUCUGUAAACCCCACCUGCAGCAAGGUCAUUGGGAUACACAGGCUGCUCGUCUUAUCCCAUAAAUCGACCGCUGAAGCCCCUCGGCAACGAUCGGCUUAGACAGAUGAACAUCAAAUACAGAACCCGGCUUACAGCUUGGCUUAUUUU
Molecule: RNase P RNA, 333 nt
Filed under: Bacillota bacterium
Lineage: Bacteria; Bacillati; Bacillota
Description: RNase P RNA component class A
Rfam family: Bacterial RNase P class A
About the family: Ribonuclease P (RNase P) is a ubiquitous endoribonuclease, found in archaea, bacteria and eukarya as well as chloroplasts and mitochondria. Its best characterised activity is the generation of mature 5'-ends of tRNAs by cleaving the 5'-leader elements of precursor-tRNAs.
Source: RNAcentral